This 506-nucleotide ribosomal RNA is filed under the name uncultured bacterium. Its description in RNAcentral is "partial 16S ribosomal RNA". It matches the Rfam family "Bacterial small subunit ribosomal RNA", at positions 29 to 523 of the family's 1533-position model. The record is from RNAcentral.
AGUGAACGCUGGCGGUAGGCCUAACACAUGCAAGUCGAACGGCAGCACAGAGGAGCUUGCUCCUUGGGUGGCGAGUGGCGGACGGGUGAGGAAUACAUCGGAAUCUACUCUGUCGUGGGGGAUAACGUAGGGAAACUUACGCUAAUACCGCAUACGACCUACGGGUGAAAGCAGGGGACCCUCGGUCCUUGCGCGAUUGAAUGAGCCGAUGUCGGAUUAGCUAGUUGGCGGGGUAAAGGCCCACCAAGGCGACGAUCCGUAGCUGGUCGGAGAGGAUGAUCAGCCACACUGGAACUGAGACACGGUCCAGACUCCUACGGGAGGCAGCAGUGGGGAAUAUUGGACAAUGGGCGCAAGCCUGAUCCAGCCAUACCGCGUGGGUGAAGAAGGCCUUCGGGUUGUAAAGCCCUUUUGUUGGGAAAGAAAUCCAGCUGGCUAAUACCCGGUUGGGAUGACGGUACCCAAAGAAUAAGCACCGGCUAACUUCGUGCCAGCCGCCGCCGUAA